UACGUAGGAGGCAAGCGUUGUCCGGAAUUACUGGGCGUAAAGCGCGUGUAGGUGGUGGGACAAGUCUGCUGUGAAAGCGCCUGGCUUAACCGGGCGAGGUCGGCGGAAACUGUCCGACUAGAGGACGGUAGAGGGGGGUGGAAUUCCCGGUGUAGUGGUAAAAUGCGUAGAGAUCGGGAGGAACACCUGUGGCGAAGGCGGCCCCCUGGGCCGGCCCUGACACUGAGACGCGAAGGCGUGGGGAGCGAACGGG
RNAcentral lists this ribosomal RNA (253 nucleotides) under uncultured bacterium. RNAcentral describes it as "partial 16S ribosomal RNA". It matches the Rfam family "Bacterial small subunit ribosomal RNA", at positions 524 to 776 of the family's 1533-position model. The record is from RNAcentral.